AUGGCCCUGCAAGAGAGGCACAAAUCGUUGCGGUAAGACACCGUCCGGUCAGGGAGGGAGUCCCCGGGGGCUGCGUAUGUGCUGCCUGCGAGAGCCCCUGCCCGAGGCCGAGCUUGUGGCCGGUUCUGGGCUCUCCCCACUGCGCUGGGGACGUGCUCCAGAACAUGGAGUCGUGGGGACUGUGACCCUGGUGGUGGCACAGGGCUGUCCGCGAGCGCGGGGACGGGCACGAGCUGGUGACGGCCCUGCUGCUCCCAGCAAAUCUGGACGUGCUGCUCUGGCGAGCGGCUUUGAGGGGCUGCCCUUGCCCUGGUGCGUGUUGGAGGACAGAGGUUGUUGGGAGCCUCUGAGCAGGCGGGAUGGAUGGUUUUGGAUGCUGCCCUGAGCCCAGCGUUGGGUAAACGCUUGGUUGUGUCUCUGUCUCCUCGCAGCACGGUGGUGUCACGCUCGUGGGUGCCAGCAGCUGUCGUCUGGCUCUGUGGUGUCCUUAGGGCCAUGCAGAGACGGGACCUGCUCGUGGCGGGCAGGUGGGAUGCCGUGGGGCUUGUUUGUGGCCGUGGCUGGUGACCCCGGGCCCUGUGCUGGUGGGGGUGGGCAGACCCUGGAGCAGGGGGUGGCUGCGGUGGGCCCUGGAGGCAACGUUUCCCCGAGCGACUGGAGCAGACCUUGAGGGGGGCCCUGAUCCAAGCGGGGCGCUGGGCCUGGUGAGGGCCUUCGCGUGCAGUAACGUGGCCUCUGUGAUGGCUCCCUGCCCGUGUCGAGGGGCUCCUGCAGCGCGUAGCUGCUUGUACGGCUGCGUUAUUCUAGCUGUUAAUGCAGUUGUCCUUUGCAGCCCAGCCAGCUCUGCGCAAGGAACGUCUCGGGAACGCUUCGUGGUCAGCUGCUAUCGGAUCGCCCCAAGGAGCUCGGGAUUAUUCGUGGACCUGUGUCAUGACGGCUGCGUGUGUUCCCUGCCCUGCGGAAGUGAAGACGUCCCGGUGCCGAAUCUCUGGGGAUCCCGGAGCUGGUGGUGCUCCUCCGGAGCGCACACGGAGAGGUUCCCCGAAGCUCUGCUCCCACUCUUGCCAGUGCGGGACAGCUUAUCCGGCCAGCAGCGACCAGCAGCGCUUGUGGUCAGAGCGAGGUCCUGACGACUGGAUGGUGACAGUGCAGAACAGAGACACAACAAGGGGCCCGGAGUGACAGCAGACGCCGUGCGAGGUGGAAACCCCGGAUGUGAGGUAGGGGGUGAUGAGAGCUGGGGCACAGGCUUGGUCCUGGAGACCCCGUGGUUAUAGAGGACUCCUCACUGGGCAGGUGACAAGACGCAGCCCUGGAGCUGAGCAAAAGUGAUGCUCCAGGCAGAGAUGGAGACUGAAGACCAAUUUUCUAAUCAGGAGGAAAAUGCAGUGUGCAGCAUAGGAAAUUAAGUGCUGUGCCCUCGUGCUCUCUGGGAGUCCCCAGGGCUGCAUUCAUCAGUGGGAGACGCACCCCCCCGCCUUGUCCCUCCUGGAGCUCGUUGGCCACCCGGCUGCCCCAGUGUUGGUGUGGGGCAGGUGUCUGCCACCGAGGGGCUGAAGGUCCUUAGUGCUUGUGACUGGUUGUGGGUCUCAGUAAUGAGUCCUGCCCUGGCCCUGCGCUCCUUGGGUGGGCACUUAGUGGGAGCUGUGGGGCAAUGGGCGUUGCUGUGGGUUGCCUUGCAGGAGGAGCUGCAGGGAGCCCUGUCACCACUGCCACCAGCCUGAGAUGGGGCUUGGAGCCACCCUGGAGCUCCAGUGUCUGGGGGGUCCCCCCGGAUGGGCUGCUCACCACCCCACCUGCAGCUCCUCA
Long non-coding RNA from Dromaius novaehollandiae (emu), 1809 nucleotides. RefSeq lists it as uncharacterized. The transcript has 3 exons. NCBI's taxonomy places the organism in Eukaryota, Metazoa, Chordata, Aves, Casuariiformes, Dromaiidae. The record is from RefSeq and is a predicted model, not a curated record.